GGAUCAAUGACGACACUCCAAUUACACUCCUUGGAGCGAACAAAAUGAGUGAAAACUCAAAACUGUCAUUCUCAUCUUGAACU
This is a small nucleolar RNA of Heterocephalus glaber (naked mole-rat), 83 nucleotides long. Its record names the gene SNORD116. It matches the Rfam family "Small nucleolar RNA SNORD116". Rfam says of the family: HBII-85 is a member of the C/D class of snoRNAs, which contain the C (UGAUGA) and D (CUGA) box motifs. The record is from Ensembl. NCBI's taxonomy places the organism in Eukaryota, Metazoa, Chordata, Mammalia, Rodentia, Bathyergidae.